This 3154-nucleotide long non-coding RNA is filed under the name Marmota monax (woodchuck). Lineage: Eukaryota; Metazoa; Chordata; Mammalia; Rodentia; Sciuridae. The record is from RNAcentral.
GGAGGGCAGGAAGAAGGUGCCAGAGCAACUCUGGGAGUCGAGAGCUACAGAGACGCCAGGCAUGGAAGGUGCACGAAGCCUCCUAUAACUUGAGCAUUUCUUACUUUUUGUGUGCACUUCAAUUUACAAAAUUCAGUGUCAAGAGAGCCCAGAGAUAAGAGCAAUUCUGCAUGGGUGCACUAUGCUUUUAUGUAAGUAUCAUCCUUGAGAUUGCACAUCUCUGCUCCCCAAAUCCCAUGUGUUCACUCUCCAUGAACUUCAGCUGCCACCAGGAGGAGCUGUUGGGUGGGGAAGCUGCAUGGCAUGUGGUGAAGUGCCCAGCCACUGCUGCAUGCAGGCCUGUCCCUUCCCACUGGCCUAGCUCUUGCUUCCCUGAACAUGGAAUUAUGGAGAUGAAGCCAUAGAACACUCUGGAUUUUCCAGUGCCUUGCCAGAGAUGUGUAUUCUCCAACAGCUGCAACCCACCCUCCCCACACUCUCCAGGGAGGGCCUGAAGACUGAAAAGGAUUCCUUCCUGCCAAAGCGACCAACUCAAAGUGUAUCAAAUAUACACUGGCUCAAGGGGAGAGUUUCUGUCUAUACUAUGCCAAGGGAAGCAAGUCCCCAUCUACAUUGGCUUAAGGCAAGUUUGUCCCCAUCUACACUGGCUUAAGGUGAGCAAGUACAUACAGUGAGCAGUAGAGGGAGGCACAGUGGUUUAGGCUGCUGAGCUCCAGCCCUUGCCCUGGUGCCAAUUUCCAAAAAGAAAAAAAGACUGCCUUUUUAAAAUAUUUGAAACUUCAAUUUUAUUAUACAAUUUGUGGAAAAAAUAAAUUAAGAAUAAAUUUCCUACAAAGCAUGGAAGAAAGAGCAGGAUGGGCAGGGUCAGGGGUUGAGGGCAUGGGAGUGUUCUAGGGAAUGUCUCUAUGAUGUGUUUUGCAGGUGGGGGCUGAGGAGACUCCUCGUGGAUGCAGAUGUGCUCCUGCCUGGAUUCUGUGCAAAGAAGCUUGAGCCAGUCAGCACACCUCACUCCUGCACCAUGAUGUCAUCAUCCACAGAGCUCAGGGUCUUCUGGCUGGCUGUCGGUUCUGUCAAUGUGGGCAUGGCAUUUCCAUUGGAGCCUCUCUGUUCCUGGACACUGGCCGAGGGAAGCAUGGUAUACAGCAGAGUUUUUGCAUGCAUUUGGUGAUGUUCCUCCUUAGUCUCUUCCAACCCUUGCUUCUGUAGUGGGAUUGCCCUGUGGAGGUACCUUAGGAAGAUGAGCUCUCCUGGGCUCAGGAUUAUGCAGGGAAGUUAGGCUGUGAGGGCGUGUGUCCCUGUUGAGGAAGCUGAGAGGAAUAACAGGCAUGCUGGCAAUUCCAGCAGCCUUCUGCAAGGACUGCUUGGCUGCCUCAUGCUGCAGCUACUCGUGGGGCAAGGGAAGAGCAGGCUUACUAGAAUACUUCCAGGGCAGAGCCAGGGAGGAUAUGCGGGGCCCAGGUGAUGCACAGGCUUCACCUGGAACCCAAAGCCUGCCCCUGGGUUCUCUGGUGCUCCAGUAUGAGGUACGUGGCCAUCAUGUUGUCCUUGAAUCUUCAACGUGGUACGGACACUCAGGUACUAUAGGGAUGGUAACCCAUGUCCACCAUGAUUUUCAAAAUUGUGGGAUCUGGGAGUUAGAAGAGUGCCUCACUCGAAGGACUGGGUGUGAAGCUUCCUCUCCCUGGCUCAGCCAUGGGUACUCCAUUAUCUGCUCUAAGUUGGGCCUCUGUGUGGGGUUCACCGUCAAGAUCUCAUUGAUGAGGCUCUGUGCUCCCUCAGAAACAUGUGGGGGAAUGUCAUACAUUCCCUACGUGAUCAGCUUCUUCAGCUGCUUAUUGCUGGUUGCCACAAAUGGGCAUCUCCCUGUGAGCAUAAAAUAGAGAAUGACUUCCAGGCUCCAGAUUUCUGGGGCGUGGGGGGAGGCAUUGAAUUCCUUCCAAUGGACAACUUUAGAGGCAACUUAGAGGAGAGUACCCCAGAACCUGUUCAGCUUCUUCCCAGCUGUGAAUCUUGUGCUCAGGCCAAAGUCGAUGAGUUUGACGUUGCUGCUGGCAUCCACCACCACGUUCUCUGGCUUCAAAUCAAGGUGCAUGAUACCCAUCUUGUGGCAGUACUGCACCACAUGCACGAUCCACCUGAACAGUCUGUGGGCUCCUCCUUCCGCAUGACAUCAGGUUCCUGGAUGAGGUCCCAUAGCUGUCCCCCCUCUGCAUGUUCCAUGAUAAGGUAGAUAUAUUCGAUGGUCUCAAUGACCUAGAAGAGCUGGAUCAUGUUCUGGUGGUCCAAGGCUGCCAUCAUCACCAGUUCAGAAAGAAAGGGGAAGUUCCAGACCUCUUUUGCCAAAACCUUCAACCACAACCUCUAUCACCUGGGCAAAGCCUCCCUCCUCAAUGUCCUGCAGGACCAUAUAAUGGUCCGUGAGGUGGGCUCAUAGCAGGAGCCUUGCCCCUAAGGCACUACACUGCUCUGACUACGCUCUCUAUGAAUCUUAAGCUGGAAUGAGGAUGCUAGCUAAAAUAAUAAUAAUAAUAAACCAAAACAAAAAAACAAAAAGCAAAAGCAAAAAAAUAUAUAUAUAUUUUAAAAACCCAAAUCAAAAACCAAUAUCCAAAGACCACAACCACCAGCCACCAACCACCACCAAAUGGGCUAACUAUCUGGGAGUCUGACAGGUCACCACCAAGAGCUUCCUGUACUUAUAGACAAAAGACCCAGCUGCAGCUACCCUCUUAAAUAACUACUGUUUGAAAUUCCCUCACAAUGGCUCCUUCUGAGCUCAAAGCACGAAAUGACCCAGUCAACCCUGGGCAUGACUCUCAGUGGUCAUCUCACUUUGGGGCUUCUAAGAACUUUUCCACUUUCAUGACAAGAAGAAAAAACUCUGGAAGAUUUUUUGCUUUAGUACAUUAUGGUGACCCAUAUUUACUUGUUUAGAAAUUAAAAUUUGUAGGAUACUUCAGCAGUCUUCUCAUUUCAAGUCUGAAAAUCCGUAAUAUCUUUGUGGCUUUGAAAAACCUCAUCAUAGCUACACUCAAGGUUUCUGCUUCUUUGCUGCCCUGAACUGAACAGUUUUCCUCCCCUGGGCCCUUGCCCCAUGAUAGACUGACUGCCUCACCUUGGGCAGAGCAGUAGAGUCAGCUAUCUAUGAACUGAG